CUUUGGUCUGCUGUUAAACUGUCAGAUAUGUGAUGCAGUCUGGAUGUCUCGUCCUCUCUGGUGGAGCUGAAGUGGAAUUAUUCACUGAAAGCAGCUCUGAAUACAUUUAAUCCAGCAGAGCCCUGGAGUGGCCGAAGAUGAAGCCGGAGAAGAGGUCCAUUAAGUCUCCAGAUUCCAAGCUUUUGUUUGAAUCCAUUUUAGCACCUUCCUCAUCUUUUAUGGAUGUCAUCCUCCACUCGCUCAGUUCUUUUCUUCCUCCCAGCUUAUUGUCUGACUGAUAAGGAAAAUAGAUUCAGCUCCUUUGACAAAGUGAGAGACAGAACAGAGUUUCUGUGACCGACGCUACUGAAUAUGUUCAGUGUUUAGAAAAGGAAACGUUGCUCUUGUACCUGCUCUUGACUGAAAGAUGAUGAUGGGGCAUUUUGUUGGAUCACCAUGACAAUCGAUCCUGUCAGUAUUCUCUGCUACAGCACCAGUCCACCAGCUGAUGGUCUAUGUAACGAGGCUCGGUGCUGUUCCUCCUCCUGUUGAGAUCUGACUCUGGAGCAAAGCGGCACUGUUUCCUCUGCUGUCUCCUCUCCACGUCCCAUUGGCUGUAGCUCACAGCUGUUUAGUGUCCAGAUUACUGGAUCGCUUCAGUUACCGAGUGGAGAGUUUGUGAGGCGGCGUACGCUGGACUGGACCCAACAUGUGACAUACGCAGCCCUGUACACAGCCGUACAUCUGAUACAUAACAAGUCUCCUGACGGUCCUGAGAGUCAACAUGAUAUACGUUCAUUUAUGUUCACACUGUGACAGCAUUCUUCUCUGGAAGAUCAGAGGUUUAAUUACUGUGUCUUUGCCUCGUCAUGAGCAGAUGAUGACAGCAGGAGAGAAACAGGUUUUUAUGUCAGAAGAAAUUCAUCUGCUGCCAGAAGGAGUCUUCACACUGUCACUGACUGUUCAACGUACAAUGAGAGAAGCAGGAUGUGGAAAAUCAUCCCAACGGACAAUCUGCCCUGUCACACUAACCUGCUCCAGCACACAGUCUGAUCCCAGCACAGCGUUUGUCCAGCAGCAGAUAUGUGGGACACAUUCCAGCUGAUAGGUGACAGCAGAGAGCGAGCUGUUAAACCUGCUCAGCUGUGACAGAGAACUGAACCGACCUUUACAUUUCUCCAACACAGUAGCUCCACUCUGGAAGAAGGGAACGGUCACUUCUUGUCCUUGUGACACUGAAGUGUCCAUAAUUC
This is a long non-coding RNA of Acanthopagrus latus (yellowfin seabream), 1232 nucleotides long. RefSeq lists it as uncharacterized. Lineage: Eukaryota; Metazoa; Chordata; Actinopteri; Spariformes; Sparidae. The transcript has 5 exons. The record is from RefSeq and is a predicted model, not a curated record.